This is a long non-coding RNA of Pecten maximus, 1674 nucleotides long. RefSeq lists it as uncharacterized. The transcript is spliced from 2 exons. Lineage: Eukaryota; Metazoa; Mollusca; Bivalvia; Pectinida; Pectinidae. The record is from RefSeq and is a predicted model, not a curated record.
UUUACUUAAAAUUGAAUAAGUUUCUCAUUACUUAUUUAGAUAAUAAAUCAAAACUGUAAAUUAAUAUAAAGUUUUGGCGGCUUUCUUCUACUUCCGGCGGUUACAUAUGUGUACAGUUAAACAUUGCCUAGAUUAUACACACAAGUGGUCAGUCAAUUGAAAUACUACAAACUGGUGUGACUAUGUGAGAUUAUAAUAGGUGAAAAACCUUCAAGUAUGUCGGAUAAUCCAUCGUUUCUAUCUGGGUCGACGAACCGAUUUAUUUUCCGCCGAAUUUGAGGAAAAAGUGAUUUUUCUCAUGAUCAUGUUGUGGAUAGUUUAUCGGAAGAUGAGGAGAUGUACGUGCCGCCAAUCAAUCGUCGAGAUUUAAAUAUAUGACAACGUCUUACCGUAGUCCAGGUCUCUCCGAAAGGAUUCGAGUAAAUGAAAUACGAAAUCGCAGACUUACAAAAAUGGUACAGUAGAUAUAAACAAUAAAACUCCGGCAGGAUCUUCAUCGAGAUCCACACAUGUAUAUGUGCGCACUCAUAUUGGACACAGGUCAAGCAGCGCGCCAGGGAGUGGACAAAGCAGCAGCAGGAAGGCAACGCCGGAUCGGAUUACGCCUGAUAAACUCACAACAAGGGAAGCUGCUUGCUUGAAGUAGGCAUCAUAGAACGAAGGGGACAAAUUAGAAAGUAGAAAUGAUGUCUUCAGAAUAUGAGGACGAAUCAGACAAAGACAGCCUUUCCAAUAUCAAUGUCCUACCACGAAGGAGCGAUGAAAUAGAUAAGAUCAUUACGGAACUAGGCAAAAAACUGAAAAGUUCUAAAAGACAACAGUAUAAACGACAGAAGUGUCCAGCAGAAAAUGUCCGGAUUAAUACGAUUACUUGAGAUUGACAAUAAAACAGUAACGGAAUGGUAUAGCAAGAAAAUUGAGUGUCUAGUUUAAAGAGAUAAACUUAAUGGCAAGAUUAAAUUUGCAUUGAGUUUACUGGAAUUUACAUUGAGUUUACUGGAAUUUACGUUGAGUUUAGUGGAACUUACAUUGAGUUUACUGGAAUUUGCAUUGAAUUUACUAGACAUUAUAGGGAGUGUAUCGAAAUUUACAGCGAGUUUGCUGGAAUUUACAUUAGGUUUACUGAAAUUUACAUUGAGGUUCCUGGAAUUUACAGCGAGUUUAGUGGAAUUUACAGCGAGUUUACUGGAAUUUACAUUAGGUUUACUGAAAUUUACAUUGAGUUUCCUGGAAUUUACGUUGAGUUUAGUGGAAUUUACAGCGAGUUUGCUGGAAUUUACAUUAGGUUUACUGAAAUUUACAUUGAUUUUCCUGGAAUUUACAUUGAGUUUAGUGGAAUUUACAGCGAGUUUGCUGGAAUUUACAUUAGGUUUACUGAAAUUUACAUUGAGUUUCCUGGAAUUUACGUUGAGUUUAGUGGAAUUUACCGCGAGUUUGCUGGAAUUUACAUUAGGUUUACUGAAAUUUACAUUGAGUUUCCUGGAAUUUACAUUGAGUUUAGUGGAAUUUACAGCGAGUUUGCUGGAAUUUACAUGUGGUUUACUGAAAUUUGCAUUGAGUUUCCUGGAAUUUACGUUGAGUUUAGUGGAAUUUACAGCGAGUUUGCUGGAAUUUACAUUAGGUUUACUGAAAUUUACAUUGAGUUUCCUGAAAUAAAAAUUGAGUUUACGAGAA